This 301-nucleotide ribosomal RNA is filed under the name uncultured bacterium. RNAcentral describes it as "partial 16S ribosomal RNA". It matches the Rfam family "Bacterial small subunit ribosomal RNA", at positions 509 to 807 of the family's 1533-position model. The record is from RNAcentral.
CAGUAGCCGCGGGAAUACGUAGGGUGCAAGCGUUAAUCGGAAUUACUGGGCGUAAAGCGUGCGUAGGCGGUUUGUUAAGUCUGUUGUGAAAUCCCCGGGCUCAACCUGGGAAUGGCAAUGGUUACUGGCAAGCUAGAGUGUGUCAGAGGAUGGUGGAAUUCCCGGUGUAGCGGUGAAAUGCGUAGAGAUCGGGAGGAACAUCAGUGGCGAAGGCGGUCAUCUGGGACAACACUGACGCUGAGGCACGAAAGCGUGGGGAGCAAACAGGAUUAGAUACCCCCGUAGUCCCUGUCUCUUAUAC